This is a long non-coding RNA of Apis laboriosa (Himalayan honeybee), 473 nucleotides long. RefSeq lists it as uncharacterized. The record is from RefSeq and is a predicted model, not a curated record. The transcript has 3 exons. NCBI's taxonomy places the organism in Eukaryota, Metazoa, Arthropoda, Insecta, Hymenoptera, Apidae.
AUCAAAUUUAAGUCACGUCUGAGAACAUCAUGAUUUCCUGGUACAACAUGUUCUAGGUAGCAACCUGCGGCACUUUCGAAAAAAAGCCAAAAGCCAACGUCUUGUGUCUUGACGUUUGUCGAGCGGAGCCAAUAACGCGCUGUUCUUGGAUAAAAUAUACAUACAUAGCGGACAGUAAGAAACCGAGUGAAAGGCAACAAUGUGAAGCAGCAUGGCGAAAAGGUCAACAUAGGCGCAUCGAUCUUUGGGGAUCUUCCAGAGUGGAAGCCAGUCAAAGGUCAGGAUAAAGCAACCAGAGUAAAUGCGGCUAAACAGAAUCAGUUAUGUGAAUGAAGCCUUAAUAAAACAAGGCUACGGAUGCUUUUAUUUCUGCAUCCAUUAUAAAGAGAAAACGGUAUUCUUUUCAAUCCUCGCAACAGGGUACAUAAAAGAUGAAAUGGAAAGAAAGAAAGAACUUUGUAUGCAUGAUGCUG